CUACGGGCUGCUCCAGUGGGGAAUAUUGGACAAUGGGGGAAACCCUGAUCCAGCAAUGCCGCGUGUGUGAAGAAGGCCUGCGGGUUGUAAAGCACUUUCGGUUGGGAGGACUGCUUCUAGCACUAAUAUUGUUGGAAGUUGACGUUACCUUCAGAAGAAGCACCGGCUAACUCCAUGCCAGCAGCCGCGGUAAUACGGGAGGGUGCAGCGUUAAUCGGAAUUACUGGGCGUAAAGCGCGCGUAGGCGGCUAGAUCAGUCGGGUGUGAAAGCCGCGGGCUUAACCUGGGAACUGCAUCCGAUACUGUCUAGCUUGAGUACAGGAGAGGAGAGUGGAAUUCCACAUGUAGCGGUGAAAUGCGUAGAUAUGUGGAGGAACACCAAUGGCGAAGGCAGCUCUCUGGCCUGAUACUGACGCUGAGGUGCGAAAGCGUGGGGAGCAAACAGGAUUAGAUACCCUUGUAGUC
This 465-nucleotide ribosomal RNA is filed under the name uncultured bacterium. RNAcentral's name for it is "partial 16S ribosomal RNA". It matches the Rfam family "Bacterial small subunit ribosomal RNA", at positions 339 to 795 of the family's 1533-position model. The record is from RNAcentral.